GAUGAACGCUGGCGGCGCGCCUAACACAUGCAAGUCGAACGAUUAAAGCACCUUCGGGUGUGUAUAAAGUGGCGAACGGCUGAGUAACACGUGGGCAACCUGCCCCUUUCAUUGGGAUAGCCACGGGAAACCGUGGAUAAUACCGAAUACUUCGAGACUUCCGCAUGGAAGACUCGAGAAAGCUCCGGCGGAGAGGGAUGGGCCCGCGGCCUGUUAGCUUGUUGGUGGGGUAACGGCCUACCAAGGCAAUGAUGGGUAGCUGGGUUGAGAGACCGACCAGCCAGAUUGGGACUGAGACACGGCCCAGACUCCUACGGGAGGCAGCAGUGGGGAAUCUUGCACAAUGGGCGAAAGCCUGAUGCAGCGACGCCGCGUGCGGGAUGAAGGCCUUCGGGUUGUAAACCGCUUUCAGCAGGGACGAGGCGAAAGUGACGGUACCUGCAGAGGAAGCCCCGGCUAACUACGUG
Molecule: ribosomal RNA, 467 nt
Filed under: uncultured bacterium
Lineage: Bacteria
Description: partial 16S ribosomal RNA
Rfam family: Bacterial small subunit ribosomal RNA
Source: RNAcentral